RNAcentral lists this unclassified non-coding RNA (283 nucleotides) under Suillus granulatus. Its description in RNAcentral is "partial internal transcribed spacer region". The stretch from base 1 to 46 matches the Rfam family "Eukaryotic small subunit ribosomal RNA", at positions 1786 to 1831 of the family's 1831-position model. Lineage: Eukaryota; Fungi; Basidiomycota; Agaricomycetes; Boletales; Suillaceae. The record is from RNAcentral.
AAGUCGUAACAAGGUUUCCGUAGGUGAACCUGCGGAAGGAUCAUUAAUGAAAUUACAAUCCGGCGAGGGAAAGGCGGGAGGGUUGUAGCUGGCCCCUCCGGGCAUGUGCACGCUCUCUUCCGGACUUUCGCCGUAUGGGCGCGGGGCGACCCGCGUCUUCAUAUACCUCUUCGUGUAGAAAGUCUUUGAAUGUCGAAACCAUCAUCGAGUCGCGACUUCUAGGAGACGCGAUUCUUUGAGACAAAAGUUAUUACAACUUUCAGCAACGGAUCUCUUGGCUCUC